RNAcentral lists this ribosomal RNA (254 nucleotides) under uncultured bacterium. RNAcentral's name for it is "partial 16S ribosomal RNA". It matches the Rfam family "Bacterial small subunit ribosomal RNA", at positions 524 to 776 of the family's 1533-position model. The record is from RNAcentral.
UACGUAGGGGGCAAGCGUUAAUCGGAAUUACUGGGCGUAAAGCGUGCGCAGGCGGUCUGUUAAGACCGAUGUGAAAUCCCCGGGCUUAACCUGGGAACUGCAUUGGUGACUGGCAGGCUUUGAGUGUGGCAGAGGGAUGUAGAAUUCCACGUGUAGCAGUGAAAUGCGUAGAGAUGUGGAGGAAUACCGAUGGCGAAGGCAGCCUCCUGGGCCAACACUGACGCUCAUGCACGAAAGCGUGGGGAGCAAACAGG